UCCCCGCAUACCCAAAUGCUCAGGAAGAUUGAUUUGAGUAAUAAUAAAACUCUGGUCUCCUGCACAGCCGGCUCUGUGUGAAUUACACUUUCUCUAUUGCAAUUCCCCUGUCUUUAGAAAUCGGCUCUGUCUAGGCAGUGGCCAAAGCGAAACCAUUGGGUGGUUACAGUGUCUUUUCCAACACAUUGUUCCAACACCCAUUCACCAAUUACCUCUCACCAAGUGGGUGUUCUUCAAUUCCAUUCAACUCUGAUGCUAACUACUCAGAGUUAGUGCAAACCCCACAGGUUAAAGUCAUGGUCCCACAAGACUGCCCUCACUUCAGAUGCUAGGUAGAAGUCUUGUGUUUCCAGGCUACUCACAGUUCUAUCCUAUUUGGCUGCAAAUUUGGGGUUUCCCAUGACCCUCCCUCAUGUUUGAUAAUUUGUUAGAACAAAUUGCAGAACUCAGGGAAGCACCUUGCUUAUGAUUACUGUUUUAUUAUAAAGGAUGCAAUUCAGGAACAGCCAUAUGUAAGAGAUGCAUAGGGCAAGGCUGUGGGUGAAUGGAAGUGGAGGACUUCUGAAACUGUCCUUGUACCAUCACCCAACGGGUGCUUCCAGCUUGCUGCACAGACAAAACAAUUCACUGAGACCAUGGUAUUGCAGUAAAGAAAGAGCUUAAUUAACCCAAGACAGCCAAGCAGAAGGACUGAUGUUAUCAUUCAAAUCACUCUCUCCAAGAACUCAGGCUAGGGUUUUUAUGGAUAGUUUGGCAGGCGGGGGGCUAAGGAAUGGGUGCUGCUGAUUGGUUGGGGAUAAAAGCAUAAGAGUGUGGAAAACAGUCCCCGUGUGCUGAGUCUGCCUCUGGGUGGGCCUACAGGACCAGUUGAGUCAUAAGUCACUAGUCCAGUUGGAAUUAAUCAGUUGCCUGAAUACAAAAGUUUGAAAAACAUCUCAAAACACCAAUCUUAGGUUCCACAACAGGAAUAUUUCCUACAGGAACAAUUGGGGAAGUCACAAGACUUGUGACCUCUGGCCACAUGACUCCUGAGCAGUAAGAGAUUAAAGAAAUUAUGCCUACAUUUUAGCAGAAUUCAGGCCCCUUCCAUUACAAAGGCAGUUUCAGUCCCUGAGCAAAGAAGGGGAUCAGUUUCAGGGAGGGACUCUUCUCAUUCUUGCUUUAAACUAUGAGCUAUAUUCCUCCCACAGUUACCUUGCCCUAGGCUGUGAGACUAGAAGCAAGGUGGAGUGAGCCAGGUUAGAUUUCUCUCAUUGUCAUAACCUUUGCAAAGGUGGUUUCAAUCACAGAGUUGACAAGAAUUACAUGCCAGGUUCUGGACAGAAAUACAGUUAUAAUUAAGCAUGAGUCAGGCUGCAUUUUGGCCUACUUACUUGUAACUGAAAGUCACAUAGCACUGGAUACUGACCAUUUGCAUCCCCAUUGUUUCUAUAGGUGGGAUUUUGGAUGUUAGAAUCAUGAGGCUUUUGUUUAAGAGUUGCUUAAGAUGUUCUUCAGAUCCUGAAUUCCAGCAGAACAGCUGACAUCCACAACCAGUUUGAGGAUCCCCACAGAAGAGCUGAAUCAACAUGAGAAUGCAGUUUCUUCAUCUCUCCAGUCCAUGAUUUCUCCCUGCAAUCCCCACACCUCUGCCCACUCCAAACCCCUUACAAACUCCUCAGGGAGGGUAGUUCCCCAGAGGAAAAGUGGGACACUGUUACCAGAAGGAAAGCAAAUGGACACUGUCUAAAUAAUGAUAACAGAUAUUCAUUACACUUCCUGGUAAAAGAAAAUAAAGGGACACUAACAUGAGGGUUAGUCCCCUCCAGAGGAUGCAGCAACAAGGUGCCUUCUUGGAAGCAGAGAGCAGCCCUCACCAGACAUGAAACCUGCUGACACCUUGG
Non-coding RNA from Chlorocebus sabaeus (green monkey), 1883 nucleotides. NCBI's taxonomy places the organism in Eukaryota, Metazoa, Chordata, Mammalia, Primates, Cercopithecidae. The record is from RefSeq and is a predicted model, not a curated record.